Long non-coding RNA from Branchiostoma floridae (Florida lancelet), 1349 nucleotides. RefSeq lists it as uncharacterized. The record is from RefSeq and is a predicted model, not a curated record. Lineage: Eukaryota; Metazoa; Chordata; Leptocardii; Amphioxiformes; Branchiostomatidae. The transcript has 2 exons.
UAGUGCGUGGGUUAAAUAGCGGAUAUAUGGUGGUUCAAAUUGACAGGAAUAGAAUGAUUUGCGUUUGCCACAUGUAUACCCAUUCCCAAUCACCCAUGGCAUCUACAUGAUCCAUGUACAAUUGGAGUUUAUGAAGUGCAUUCUACUCUAAUGACCACUUCGCUUGCCAGUUUGCAUUUUCUGUAUUACCCAAAACCCACUCCUGUUUGACAAACCCUAUGUGAGCCUCCCAAUCUGUAGACACCGAAUAACCUCCUCAGACAGGAUGUACACAAGUGCCGCCAGAAAAUAGUUCAUAACAAGAAGGGAGCAUCCAUCAAAUAAGAACUGGAGUUUAGAUCACUGGCAUUAUUUCCUGCUUUGGUAUAAUAUUUGCCCAAGAAUUAGUAAAAAGUAGCUGUUCACGAUGAAUUAUUAGCUGCUAUACAGCUGGGCACUUUUACGGCGGAUGGAUAUGUACAGUAUUUCCCGUCGCACAGGCAGGCAGCUUUUAGUGUUGGAGAAGAAAGGCGCUGGCGAGAGAAGCUCCUGAGAUGAGGCAAACAUCAAUGCAGACCACACUGAACAUCGACAGCUGUGCACCUCCAAUAGAGAGGUGACAUACUCUGGUCGACAAAGCCAAUAUCUUUCAGACACGAAGUCAGCACAGCUUGAAACAUCUGAUCAUAAAAUGAGGUUUCCAAAACAAUAUUUAUCUACAAUGAAACGUUACCAUAUAUGGUGGCAUAUCAAAUCGUGACACAUCACUGAUGACAUCUAUGUUCAUUUUGGCUUGUGGCAGAACAUCCAACUUACUCAGGGGUUGUUAGUCAGGUCUAUUGUUACAGCUGUCCAGCCUCUUGGAAACCCAGACUUCGGGGACUGUGUCUCUGGCUCAGUGGGGGCUGGUUCAGCUUAGUUAGAUGGGUUUGAAUUACAGGGAACAGCAUACUAUUAAUGUUCAUUAAAAUAGCUCACCACGUGUAGUGAAAAAGGCCAUGGAGAUGAUCAACACAAAUUGUAACACACAGGCCUUGCAGCACAUUUGUGUUGUUAUACAUACCUUAAAAUUUCUCACUGCGAUGAGUAUGACAUUCGGCAAGUCAUCGGUCUUGUCAAACACUAGGGGUUUGUCUUCAACUUCAAAUUUCAAAUGAAAGAAAAGAAAUUACUACUUUAUUGAAACAACUACAUGCGGAGGUAUUGACACCGUACUGAACCAUAGUACUUGAAUCAGCUUAUGAACUUCAAGAAUGUCCACUUUUAUGACUGGCAUUCCCUAUUACAUAUCUAUGUUAUGACAUAAAUAGCUAAUGUAUUCACUACUUACUUUCCUGUGGGAUUUUAUUCAAUUACACGAGUAAUAUAAA